Molecule: ribosomal RNA, 484 nt
Filed under: uncultured bacterium
Lineage: Bacteria
Description: partial 16S ribosomal RNA
Rfam family: Bacterial small subunit ribosomal RNA
Source: RNAcentral
AUUGAACGCUGGCGGCAGGCCUAACACAUGCAAGUCGAGCGGGAGAGCGGUGCUUGCUCGUGGUUCCAGCGGCGGACGGGCGAGUGAGGCCUAGGAAUCUCCCUGGCUGCGGUGUAGAACGUCCUGAAACGGGCGCUAAUACCGCAAUAGCGCAGAGGGAGAACGGGGGGGAGCUUGGGACCUUCCGCCCUUAGGUGAGUGUAGGUCGGGUUAGCUAGUUGGUGGGGUAAAGGCCUACCAAGGCGACGAUCCGUCGCUGGUCUGAGAGGAUGAGCGGACACACUGGAACUGAGACACGGUCCAGACUCCUACGGGAGGCAGCAGUGGGGAAUAUUGGACAAUGGGCGAAAGCCUGAUCCAGCCAUGCCGCGUGUGUGAAGAAGGCCUUCGGGUUGUAAAGCCCUUUUGUUGGGGAAGAACGGCAGUAGGUUAAUACCCUGCUGUUUUGACGGUACCAACAGAAUAAGCACCGGCUAACUUCGUG